AGUGAACGCUGGCGGUAGGCCUAACACAUGCAAGUCGAACGGAAGCACAGUAAGAGCUUGCUCUUACGAGUGGCGCGUGGCGGACGGGUGCGGAAUACAUCGGAAUCUACUUUUUCGUGGGGGAUAACGUAGGGAAAGUUACGCUAAUACCGCAUACGACCUACGGGUGAAAGCAGGGGACCUUCGGACCUUGCGCGAUUGAAUGAGCCGAUGUCGGAUUAGCUAGUUGGCGGGGUAAAGGCCCACCAAGGCGACGAUCCGUAGCUGGUCUGAGAGGAUGAAUAGGCACAUGGGAAGUGAGGAAGGGUACAGACCCCUACGGUAGGCAGCAGUGGGGAAUAUUGGGCGAGGGGGGAGAGGCGGAUCCAGCCAUACCGCGUGGGUGAAGAAGGCCUUCGGGUGGUAAAGUCCUUUUGUUGGGAAAGAAAAGCAGCAGUUUAAUACCCCGCUGUUCUGACGGUACCCAAAGAAUAAGCACCGGCUAACUUCGUG
RNAcentral lists this ribosomal RNA (492 nucleotides) under uncultured bacterium. RNAcentral describes it as "partial 16S ribosomal RNA". It matches the Rfam family "Bacterial small subunit ribosomal RNA", at positions 29 to 507 of the family's 1533-position model. The record is from RNAcentral.